Molecule: ribosomal RNA, 419 nt
Filed under: uncultured bacterium
Lineage: Bacteria
Description: bacterial SSU rRNA
Rfam family: Bacterial small subunit ribosomal RNA
Source: RNAcentral
UGGGGAAUCUUGCGCAAUGGGCGAAAGCCUGACGCAGCAACGCCGCGUGAGGGAUGACGGCCUUCGGGUUGUAAACCUCUUUCGACCGGGACGAAGAGAGAUUGACGGUACCGGUAUAAGAAGCACCGGCCAACUACGUGCCAGCAGCCGCGGUAACACGUAGGGUGCAAGCGUUAAUCGGAAUUACUGGGCGUAAAGCGCGCGUAGGUGGUUUGUUAAGUCGGAUGUGAAAUCCCAGGGCUCAACCUUGGAAUGGCACCCGAUACUGGCAGGCUAGAGUACGGUAGAGGGGUGUGGAAUUUCCUGUGUAGCGGUGAAAUGCGUAGAUAUAGGAAGGAACAUCAGUGGCGAAGGCGACACCCUGGACUGAUACUGACACUGAGGUGCGAAAGCGUGGGGAGCAAACAGGAUUAGAUACC